This 774-nucleotide ribosomal RNA is filed under the name uncultured Neocallimastigales. RNAcentral describes it as "partial large subunit ribosomal RNA". It matches the Rfam family "Eukaryotic large subunit ribosomal RNA", at positions 24 to 639 of the family's 3401-position model. The record is from RNAcentral. Lineage: Eukaryota; Fungi; Neocallimastigomycota; Neocallimastigomycetes; Neocallimastigales.
UAUGUGAUCGUCUCUCGCAUAUCAAUAAGCGGAGGAAAAGAAACUAACAAGGAUUCCCCUAGUAACGGCGAGUGAAGCGGGAAGAGCUCAAAUUUGAAAUCUUAAAGGGUUUCCCUUUACGAAUUGUAGUUUAAAGAAGUGUUUUCUGUUGAGGUUUUGGUAAAAGUUCUUUGGAAUAGGACAUCAUAGAGGGUGAGAAUCCCGUAUUUGACCUUUACUUUCAACUUUGUGAUACACUUUCAAAGAGUCGGAUUGUUUGGGAAUGCAGUCCAAAAUGGGUGGUAAAUUUCAUCUAAAGCUAAAUAUUGGCGAGAGACCGAUAGCGAACAAGUACCGUGAGGGAAAGAUGAAAAGAACUUUGAAAAGAGAGUUAAACAGUACGUGAAAUUGUCAAAAGGGAAGCGUUUGACACCAGUGUUGUUUUUCUGAAAAUCAAUUAAAGAACUGUUUAUGCUAAGUUGUUUAGACUUUAUCAGCUAUCUGUUUAGUUUUGAGCUUUUCUUUAAUGCACUUUUCAGUUAACAAGUCAACAUCAAUUUCUUUUGCUGUAAAAAAGCUUGAGGAAGGUGGCUUGAGAUUCGUCUUAAGUGUUUAUAGCCUCUUGCCUAUGCAGUCGGAGAGAUUGAGGUCUGCAGCGUAGAUCCUUCGGGGCUAAGUGCAUUUGUGCUAAGUUAUAGCAUUUUAUAGACAACUUGUUGACUAUGAUUUGUCUUGUAGCUUACUCGCUUAUGUUAUUUUACCUACGCUUAGGAUGUUGACGCGCGUGUGUGCGUG